RNAcentral lists this ribosomal RNA (253 nucleotides) under uncultured bacterium. Its description in RNAcentral is "partial 16S ribosomal RNA". It matches the Rfam family "Bacterial small subunit ribosomal RNA", at positions 524 to 776 of the family's 1533-position model. The record is from RNAcentral.
UACGAAGGGGGCUAGCGUUGCUCGGAAUUACUGGGCGUAAAGGGCGCGUAGGCGGAUCGUUAAGUCAGAGGUGAAAGCCCAGGGCUCAACCCUGGAAUUGCCUUUGAUACUGGCGAUCUUGAGUACGGGAGAGGUGUGUGGAACUCCGAGUGUAGAGGUGAAAUUCGUAGAUAUUCGCAAGAACACCAGUGGCGAAGGCGGCUCACUGGCCCGAUACUGACGCUGAGGCACGAAAGCGUGGGGAGCAAACAGG